AGAACUUAUCUGAUUAUAUCACUAUUUUAAGUAUGAAUAGUCAUAAAUUGAGAACUACCUAUAUUUUCUUUCAACAAACACAAUAAAAGUUUUAUACAAAUUGCGAUAUUUUAGAAAAUCUAAUAUUUAAUACAUAUAUAUAGGAAACUGAGGCAAGACAACAAUGCUAACGAAUUUCAAUUUUUUUAAAUUCAUAAAUGCAUUACCAAUACUUUUUAUAACAUAAAUAAAUUAUUCAUACUUCACAUUAUUAAUGAAAAAUUUAUAUAGACUAAUUCCCUAAAUUAAAUUAUAUAGAAAACAUUUGUUUGGGAUAGUUCAAAAAAAUCAUCUUGCCCCUUCUUCACAAAAAAUGUUUAUCUAUCAACAUUGUUGGUGUAUUUAAAGAAACUUAAGAGUGUUAUAACAUUUCUAUUUAUUACACAUGAGCAUAGAAAACAAUAAUAAACUUUAAUAAAGAAGUACAUUCAAUACUAUGGGUAAUUAGUCCCGUUAUACUUUACAUUCAAUGAUGAUGAUGACAAUUUAAGAUGAUACAAUAAUGAUUUAAAUUGUUUACAAAAAUCAUAGAUGAAUGGCCCUCCUUCAUACCCAGUAUAGCUUUCAUACCACCAUAUUUUACAUUGAGAGCAUUGUAUCUAGUCUUCAUCAAGUGGAUCUAUAUAAAACAAAAGCUAUCAUAAGCUGGGCAAUUAAUAUCUGUACUCUGUUUAUUUCUUAUUUUCUUAUUUCUAUCCAAUUCCUUUUUUUUUUUUUUCCUUUGAGUUCUGUUUCUCAAGCAACAUAUAUUUUACUAGUGAGCUUGUUAUGAUAUUAGCUGACAUUGUUUUUCUUUUUCCCUCUGAUUUUUUAACUCAUGGUAUGGAUUUAAAUUCAAAUAUUGAUAAAGGAGAGUAGCAACUUGAAACGUGAUGUUCAUAGUUAUUAUCUUCACUUCCAGUCUUUUUAUCAUUACUAUCUGAAAAAGUAGGCAUACUUCUCUUUGUGGAAGAUGGCUGAUAUUGUUUAAAACUGACUUCAUAUUUUGAUGAUGGACCAGGCAGAGGUUCAAUUGCUUGGACAGGACUUUGAGCAUUUUGUUUUGUAUUGCUAUUCUCUAUGGCUUUUUUGGUUCUUUCAAAAGGACCAAAGUCUUCAUUCAUAAAUACGUGAUGAUUAUAUGGUUCAGUUCUAGUACAUCUAAACCCUUUUACUGCAUUUCCAAUAGUUGCUUAGAACAAUUGCUAUGCUUAACAAUUCCCCUAUGUCAAUAUCUGUUAUAGCUUGCUUACCAAGCUAUAACAGACAUUGGCAUAGGUUUGAAACAAUAAAGUUAUAACAUGCUUGACUAUAGUAGGUUUUAAGUGAUCUAUAGAAGAGUACAUCAAGUGGCUAUAAUUUGUGUUUUGUGUGGAGAGAGAAUCGUACCAUAUAAUGUGCUUUUCUCUGCAAAAAUUUAUUGCAUCCAAGAUAACUAGGAUUUAUGGUUAUCAAUAAGGAGCAGUAUACAAGCAUAUUUUUAGAGGGUUUUAUAUGUAUUAGAAAAUGCUGAAGAAAAGCAAAAAAUAAUUCUGAAUUUACCCAAACAUUGUCAAUGCAGUUCUCCAUGGAACCUGGAAAUGCUUUAUUUAUGAAUUCUGGACACAUCUGCUUUCAAGAAAAAAUCAUAACUGUGACAUUUCCACUGUCACGAGAGUUCGGACCCCGUCCCCCCUCGGUACCUGGUGUUUGCGAGGUGUUAAAUCGAACAUGAAACUGAUAUUCACGUGAUUCCCACCAGCGUAGUGUAGCGUUCAUGGCGUCGACCAAAUACUCCAUCAGCUUCAAGAAAAAUUAAAUUUAUUAACACCACUGGUUAAUUUUACAAUUGGUUAAUGCAAA
Molecule: long non-coding RNA, 1860 nt
Filed under: Androctonus crassicauda
Lineage: Eukaryota; Metazoa; Arthropoda; Arachnida; Scorpiones; Buthidae
Source: RNAcentral